Molecule: ribosomal RNA, 587 nt
Filed under: uncultured bacterium
Lineage: Bacteria
Description: partial 16S ribosomal RNA
Rfam family: Bacterial small subunit ribosomal RNA
Source: RNAcentral
UGGGGAAUUUUGGACAAUGGGCGAAAGCCUGAUCCAGCAAUGCCGCGUGUGUGAAGAAGGCCUUCGGGUUGUAAAGCACUUUUGUCCGGAAAGAAAUCCUUGGCUCUAAUACAGUCGGGGGAUGACGGUACCGGAAGAAUAAGCACCGGCUAACUACGUGCCAGCAGCCGCGGUAAUACGUAGGGUGCAAGCGUUAAUCGGAAUUACUGGGCGUAAAGCGUGCGCAGGCGGUUUGCUAAGACCGAUGUGAAAUCCCCGGGCUCAACCUGGGAACUGCAUUGGUGACUGGCAGGCUAGAGUAUGGCAGAGGGGGGUAGAAUUCCACGUGUAGCAGUGAAAUGCGUAGAGAUGUGGAGGAAUACCGAUGGCGAAGGCAGCCCCCUGGGCAAUACUGACGCUCAUGCACGAAAGCGUGGGGAGCAAAACAGGAUUAGAUACCCCUGGUAGUCCACGCCCUAAAACGAUGUCAACUAGUUGUUGGGGAUUCAUUUCCUUAGUAACGUAGCUAACGCGUGAAGUUGACCGCCUGGGGAGUACGGUCGCAAGAUUAAAACUCAAAGGAAUUGACGGGGUCAUAGCUGUUUCCU